Molecule: non-coding RNA, 485 nt
Organism: Chiloscyllium plagiosum (whitespotted bambooshark)
Lineage: Eukaryota; Metazoa; Chordata; Chondrichthyes; Orectolobiformes; Hemiscylliidae
Source: RefSeq, a predicted model, not a curated record
CUGUAGGCUUGAAAGGAAUCAUAAUGGAACAAGUAAAAAUCAAACAGUGUGUAUCAUGGAGAGGUAAUGACACAUUAAUUUAAUAUGACCAAAAAAAUGCAAAGAAGGGAAACAAAAUUGAAGUAAAAAUUGUGAUUGUAAUUAUUAAACUCAACGAAAGGCAGCAAAGUGUGUCAUUGAAAGAUGAGCUAGCUGAUGAAGUUCAUUAUUCCUUUAUAAUUUUGAGACAAUUAGAAGGCAAGCUUACAGUGCAAAGAUAUUGCAAUAUUUUAUCAAUUGGCCAUAACGAAAUCAUGCGAAGGGAGGGGAAAAGUUUACCAAGGCUUCCACUUUGGAUCUUGUGCAGUAGGCUUUUGUUAAUAGCAGUAUUUUCAAGAAAUGAAUUGAACAACAAGAAUUAGAAGACAAGACUAUAAGAAAGAGGAAUAGGAAGAUAAGAAUCUGAAACUCUUUCCAGUUCUUUGCGAAAGUGGAUGGCCAAAGCA